This 107-nucleotide small nuclear RNA is filed under the name Moschus moschiferus (Siberian musk deer). Lineage: Eukaryota; Metazoa; Chordata; Mammalia; Artiodactyla; Moschidae. The record is from RNAcentral.
GUGCUCACUUUAGCAGCACAUAUGCUAAAAUUGGAACAUUACAGAGAUGAUUAGCAUGGCUUCUGCACAAGGAUGACAUGCAAAUUCAUGGAGCAUUCUGUAUUUUU